AUGGGCCGCAACAAUUCCUGGAGGCUCCCGGGCAGCCGAGACAUCCAGCAGCGACUGGUGCUCGCGCUGACCUCCACCCCGAUCACCAUCAAGGACAUCCGCUCUGGCGAGGGGGGCCUCCGCUCGCACGAGAUGUCCCUCCUCCGCCUCCUCGACAAGGUCUCCGACGAGCACGUCAUCGACGUCAACGACAAAGGGAAGAAGGUCGGGUACAAGCCCGGGGUGGUCGUCGGCGGGAAGGACCUGGAGCACGACUGCGGGGUGCACCAUGGGAUCGGCUACUUCAUCGAGCUGCUCCUUCUGCUCGGCCUCUUCGCCAGGUCGCCCUUGUCCGUUCGGCUCAAAGGAAUCACAAAUGAUACAAAGGACCCUUCUGUGGAUACUUUCCAAAUGGUUACGUUGCAUAUGCUCAAGCAUUUUGGCGUUCCUCUUGAGGGAAUGUAGCUCAAAAUUGAAAGCCCGGGAGUUCCUCCUCAUGGUGGAGGUGAAGUGCUUCUUCGAGUUCCCAAUAUAAACAAUAUAUAAAAGGCAGUUAAUUGGGUUGUUGAAGGCAUGGUAAAGAGGAUAAGAGGUGUAACAUUCUCCACCAUAGUAUCUCCAUGGAUUGUAAGCCGUAUCCACUAUGCUGCAUGUGGACUCUUCAAUAAGUUUAUUCUAGAUGUUCAGAUCUUCACUGAUCAGAGAGCUGUUUCAUCUCGUGGCAGGUCAGCAGGCUAUGCCGUAUCUGUAAUUGCUGAGACCACAACAGGCUGUCUGAUUUCUGCAGAUGCUACUGUGAGUUAUCCCAAUGUUGAUGAAAUGAGUGAACAAUCUGAGAAGCCUGAGCAAGUUGCAUCGAUGCUGCUAGAAGAGGUGGCUCAAAGAGGAGUUGUUGACUCAACACACUAG
RNAcentral lists this ribosomal RNA (888 nucleotides) under Triticum aestivum (bread wheat). RNAcentral's name for it is "partial small subunit ribosomal RNA". The record is from RNAcentral. Lineage: Eukaryota; Viridiplantae; Streptophyta; Magnoliopsida; Poales; Poaceae.